CGGGACUACACUGAAGCAUUCAAAUCAGCGAGGAGAGCGCCUAAACAGACACAUGAGAUCAACAAGUCGCAGCAGACCAGGUGGAACUCUGUAACCGGCAGCGGCGAGGAUUUCCUUAUGCAGCAGCCUUACUUCUGGGAGGUAGGCUGUCACGGACCCUAUGCCAGGACCGUUCCACUUAUAAGUCCCUUAAGCCCAACCGCCAGCAUCGGGAGCUGCGAGCUUACAGUAUCGGAUCAACUUUGUCUUUUGAUCUAUUGACACCGAGCAACUUUGCACUGUGCAAGGAGAAUUGGCUACAUUGAUUCACACUUUGUACGAAUUGAAGACUGAGAAAUUUCACCUUGCCUACAUUAGGAUCUGCUUCCCAUCAGGGAAGGAACCAUCACUGUCGCACACUGAGUGGGAAUUUGGGUACAUUGUUAAUUUGUGGACUAGUGUUUAGUUAUUAGUGUGUCCAGUGUCUUUGAUACUUAUACACCAUGCUAGAUCGGGAUUCAUAACAAUUAGAUUGUGUUUAUU
This is a non-coding RNA of Pelobates cultripes (western spadefoot toad), 522 nucleotides long. NCBI's taxonomy places the organism in Eukaryota, Metazoa, Chordata, Amphibia, Anura, Pelobatidae. The record is from the annotation of a GenBank genome assembly.